UCAGACAGGCAGCCGUCGCCGUCGGACUGCACGAUAACCAUGCCGUGCUCGCUGUCGACCCUGUCCUCCGCGCGGCCGCCGCGCCGGCUGAUCAUGCCCGUGCGCCCGACGCCGGCGUCUGGCUCCCGAAACCCGGACGGGGAGUCCGGGAAGAGGCCUUUCGUCACGGCCGUGCUGCUCCACGCCGGUGGCUCGCGGUCGCGGCCUCUACGGUUUCUGGCUCUGCUCCCCGGCCAUAUCCACUGCGAGAAUCGGCUCAGCGACAUGGCCGUUGUGGGGGAAAGAAAUCAAAGAAUGCUCGGGUCGUCUUGAUCCGGUUGAAAAUUGGGGGCGCAAAGCUGACAAAAUCAAAGAGAAUAGAGCAAA
This 366-nucleotide unclassified non-coding RNA is filed under the name Zea mays. RNAcentral's name for it is "misc RNA Zm00001eb178970". The record is from RNAcentral. Lineage: Eukaryota; Viridiplantae; Streptophyta; Magnoliopsida; Poales; Poaceae.